AGCGAAUUAGCUGGAUAGAGCACCUGCCUUCUAAGCAGGCGGUCGAAGGUUCGAAUCCUUCUGCCAUCA
This 69-nucleotide transfer RNA is filed under the name Flavobacteria bacterium MS024-3C. Its description in RNAcentral is "tRNA-Arg". The stretch from base 8 to 61 matches the Rfam family "tRNA", at positions 8 to 63 of the family's 71-position model. From Rfam's summary of the family: Transfer RNA (tRNA) molecules are approximately 80 nucleotides in length. Their secondary structure includes four short double-helical elements and three loops (D, anti-codon, and T loops). Further hydrogen bonds mediate the characteristic L-shaped molecular structure. tRNAs have two regions of fundamental functional importance: the anti-codon, which is responsible for specific mRNA codon recognition, and the 3' end, to which the tRNAs corresponding amino acid is attached (by aminoacyl-tRNA synthetases). tRNAs cope with the degeneracy of the genetic code in two manners: having more than one tRNA (with a specific anti-codon) for a particular amino acid; and 'wobble' base-pairing, i.e. permitting non-standard base-pairing at the 3rd anti-codon position. Lineage: Bacteria; Pseudomonadati; Bacteroidota; Flavobacteriia. The record is from RNAcentral.